This 171-nucleotide ribosomal RNA is filed under the name uncultured Inocybe. Its description in RNAcentral is "5.8S ribosomal RNA". It matches the Rfam family "5.8S ribosomal RNA". Rfam says of the family: 5.8S ribosomal RNA (5.8S rRNA) is a component of the large subunit of the eukaryotic ribosome. It is transcribed by RNA polymerase I as part of the 45S precursor that also contains 18S and 28S rRNA. Functionally, it is thought that 5.8S rRNA may be involved in ribosome translocation. The record is from RNAcentral. Lineage: Eukaryota; Fungi; Basidiomycota; Agaricomycetes; Agaricales; Cortinariaceae.
GAUGGAAAUUAUAUACAACUUUCAGCAACGGAUCUCUUGGCUCUCGCAUCGAUGAAGAACGCAGCGAAAUGCGAUAAGUAAUGUGAAUUGCAGAAUUCAGUGAAUCAUCGAAUCUUUGAACGCAUCUUGCGCUUCUUGGUAUUCCAAGGAGCAUGCCUGUUUGAGUGUCAU